CUAUGACUUAAUCUUUUGGUAAUUCAAAUUUGUAAGAGCUUAGGAUUAAAUGCCCAGCCUUGGUAGUUACUGUCUAUUCUCACUGGAAAGCUUUAGAGAGGAGAAUUUUUUUUUUUUUUUUUUUGCAGAAAAAUCUGAAUGCUUCACUCGUCAUAUCAUCUUAUGGAUAUGGAGAAUGUUGUGAGUGCUCUAUGGUACUUGAGGCCAACCCGUCGAUGGUUUCUAUUAAGAUCCCAAGUUGUAAAUACUAGUACACUUGUAAUCCUCACCUGAGAAAGCUUUUGUGCAUCCAAUCCACCUUGAGUUUCCAUAGUUGAACAACAAAAUUUGUUUUUUGAUUCAGAUAUUGGAUUGGAGCCCGCCAACAAGAUAUAGAUUCCCUCACUUUAGAUGAACUACUAGCCCAAAGAAAUCCUCUAUCAAGUGACCGAGAUCCCUCUCCGUUAUUUUGUACAAUUAUGACUUUUGCCUCACUUCACAAAUUUUGAUUAACAUUUUGUCGGUUAAUGUGUGUGCUCUAUCUUUCCUCUUCCUCUGUUAAUUUUAUUGGGAACAUGUUAUUCACUCACUCUCUCUCUCUCUCUCUCUCUCUCUCUCUCUCUCUCUCUCUCUCUCUCUCUCUCUCUCUCUCUCUCUCUGUGUUCUUUUUUGUUUAUAAUGAACUCACUUUCUUUGCACAUUUCUGUGUGUGUCAUCAAUACUGGCUCUUCUUAAUCAUUCUAAUCUACUCCAGGUAAAUGUAUAAAUGAUUCUGCUAGCGUCCUGAUGGCAAGGUUGUUGUCUUAGGACUUGAAGCCAGUACAGUUUUACUGCAUGGUGUCGAAGUUGUGUUAUGCAUUCAUCUUUGGUGUGAUGCUUAAGAAACCGUAGGUGUGUUGCUUAGGCAAUUUUGUGUGUCACCUAAAUAUUUAUUCUUUAUUGUGGGACUCGGCCCUACAUCAAAGCCAUGAAUAUUUUUGAUGUUACAUUGUUUGAUGCAUGAGUUAGAAAAUGAAUCAAGGAAAUUGAUUGACUCAUAUCUAAUUAGUGAAAUCAGCAGUGAAUUACUUUAAUCACAUAUCAAAUAGAAUUAAUAUGCUCAUUUAAUAGAUUUGUAUACUUUAGGAGUUGAAUCUUAUUGAUGUGCUCAAUUGCAUUCUCGUGUUGGACAAAAUUUUUACUUGGCCAUUGAUGUUGUCCUCAAUAAUUGAAACUAUUUCAAUUGUCAACAACAGAUUAUGGCAUAGUGUUUACUGGGUCCAGCUCAUUGUGACAAUCUGUGGUCUAAGUGGAUGGUGUCAUAUUGAAGCAUUCGUCUGUGAGAUGCUCAUUUUCAUCAAAAUUAAUAGCUUCUUUCAAUUGUUAGUAAAUUUGUUCUGUUCAGUCAAAUUAGGAAGGUAAUAAUUUAGGUGACUCUUAAAUGAUAGGAUUUGUGUGUGCCUCAAUUAUGCUUGUGGGCAGAAAAGUUUGUAAAUAACUGGUUAUGAUUUUAUCAAGCUAUAGCUACUUUGUCAUGAGUAGAAUGGCUGAGUACAUGGCUGAGGCUGCUGCAAUUCUGUUUCUGUGAGAUUUCUACCAGUCUAUUACUAAUCAUCCACUUCAUGGAUUGCGGUCAAUCAAUAUAGAUGGAUCCGACAUAUGAUUCGAAUCCAAUAUAGCACCUAUGGGUACAUAAGAAUUGCUGAGAAGAGAAUUUGUUUGUACAUAAUGAAUGUUACUUACCAAAGUAGCUAUCUUGAUGGAACUAUGGAUAUGUGUGGGUGGUGCUUUUGAUAUGCUAGUGCCUGUAGCAGUUAUGCACACUGUGGUAUAAUCAUUCUAACAUGGUAUAAAUAUUAAGCAGAAUGGAAAACUGCUAAGAAGCUUGACGUCACAUAUGGCAACAAUGGUGUCUCAACUGAGAGGAGGAUGCCCAAGUGAAUAGAGUAUGGCAUCUUUCAACUUAAAAGUUGGUACGACUUCAUGAUCUUUAUUACCAAUAGCAGAUGUCUUAUGGCUCGCACCUUUCAUAAUGCUUCGUUUGCAAUUAAGUAGUUAUCUUAGUGUGGUGUUCUUAGAUUCUUCUUUUUCAAACAUAGAAUCUUGUUUCAUAGUCCAACAGCUUUAGUAUGGGUUUAUAGAAGAUUUUUUGAAAGCGUAUGUUUGGUGUCAUUUGUAACUUGUUGCUUGGUUUGGCUCCUUAGGUUCAAUCUCAUUAUUUUUCAUCUUUCUAUUUUCCAACUAGAAAGUAAUCAUUUAUUUGUUUUAUAGAAUGCUUCUGGUAACUCUUUGGCAUUUGAAGAUCGCACUAAGUUCCAAGAGUUCCUCAAACACUUGGACUAGUACCCAGAGGUGCUGGUUUAACUGACAAUGUUCAAGAUUCAUUUGUAGAGUUCUCAAAUUCUUCAAAGCAAUGUUUGCAUAUCCUUUGCAAUGGAGAUAAAGAUGGGGUUUUGUGCUUCAAUAUAUUUGGUGUCUUUCCAAUUGGAAAUAUCACAAGCAUCAUGUCUGUUCAAAUCAAAUAUUUAGCUAUGUGGUCUAUCAGAUUUAGUCAAUGAGUCCUUUCCUUGUUCUCGCUUCUCAUACAGCAAUUUUUUCUGAAUAAAGGGAUUUGAUGGUAGAGUGACAGCAAA
Molecule: long non-coding RNA, 2591 nt
Organism: Eucalyptus grandis
Lineage: Eukaryota; Viridiplantae; Streptophyta; Magnoliopsida; Myrtales; Myrtaceae
Exons: 2
Source: RefSeq, a predicted model, not a curated record